AUCUCCCCAUCGAUCACACUGUACGCCACCGUCUUGUUAGCUUCGUCGGCAAUCUCAAUCUUUUCCUUGGCGGUCUUCACCAGUGGCAUUCCUUCGGCAUAUGUGACGAGACGAGUGGAGCCAACGGUCUUCCCGUCUCCUUCGACAAUCUCAAUGCUCUUGUACUGCUCAGGGAAGAUCUUUGGGAAAAGGGCGGUGGAGUCGGUGAUGGCGCCGAAGAAUUUGUCAGCAGUGGUCUUCACUUCAACCUCAAUUACCAACUUGGUUG
RNAcentral lists this unclassified non-coding RNA (268 nucleotides) under Hevea brasiliensis (rubber tree). The record is from RNAcentral. Lineage: Eukaryota; Viridiplantae; Streptophyta; Magnoliopsida; Malpighiales; Euphorbiaceae.